CCUCCCGGAGCUAACGCGUUAAGUCGACCGCCUGGGGAGUACGGCCGCAAGGUUUAAACUCAAAUGAAUUGACGGGGGCCCGCACAAGCGGUGGAGCAUGUGGUUUAAUUCGAUGCAACGCGAAGAACCUUACCUGGCCUUGACAUCCACGGAAUUUGGCAGAGAUGCCUUAGUGCCUUCGGGAACCGUGAGACAGGUGCUGCAUGGCUGUCGUCAGCUCGUGUUGUGAAAUGUUGGGUUAAGUCCCGCAACGAGCGCAACCCUUAUCCUUUGUUGCCAGCGAUACGGUCGGGAACUCAAAGGAGACUGCCGGUGAUAAACCGGAGGAAGGUGGGGAUGACGUCAAGUCAUCAUGGCCCUUACGGCCAGGGCUACACACGUGCUACAAUGGCGCAUACAAAGAGAAGCGACCUCGCGAGAGCAAGCGGACCUCAUAAAGUGCGUCGUAGUCCGGAUCGGAGUCUGCAACUCGACUCCGUGAAGUCGGAAUCGCUAGUAAUCGUAGAUCAGAAUGCUACGGUGAAUACGUUCCCGGGCCUUGUACACACCGCCCGUCACACCAUGGGAGUGGGUUGCAAAAGAAGUAGGUAGCUUAACCUUCGGGAGGGCGCUUACCACUUUGUGAUUCAUGACUGGGGUGAAGUCGUAACAAGGUAACCAAGGGCGAAUUCCAG
Molecule: ribosomal RNA, 674 nt
Filed under: uncultured Erwinia sp.
Lineage: Bacteria; Pseudomonadati; Pseudomonadota; Gammaproteobacteria; Enterobacterales; Erwiniaceae
Description: bacterial SSU rRNA
Rfam family: Bacterial small subunit ribosomal RNA
Source: RNAcentral